RNAcentral lists this ribosomal RNA (364 nucleotides) under uncultured fungus. RNAcentral describes it as "eukaryotic LSU rRNA". It matches the Rfam family "Eukaryotic large subunit ribosomal RNA", at positions 40 to 398 of the family's 3401-position model. The record is from RNAcentral. Lineage: Eukaryota; Fungi.
AUAUCAAUAAGCGGAGGAAAAGAAACCAACAGGGAUUGCCUUAGUAACGGCGAGUGAAGCGGCAAAAGCUCAGAUUUGAAAUCUGGUGCCAUAAAGGCAUCUGAGUUGUAAUCUGUAGAGGAGUAUUCGAGUGUGGCUUUGGCUUAAGUUCCUUGGAACAGGGCGUCAAAGAGGGUGAGAACCCCGUUUGCGGCCUUUGUCCUAUGCUCAUGUGAAUCUCCUUCAACGAGUCGAGUUGUUUGGGAAUGCAGCUCUAAAUGGGUGGUAAAUUCCAUCUAAAGCUAAAUACUGGCAAGAGACCGAUAGCGCACAAGUAGAGUGAUCGAAAGAUGAAAAGAUCUCUGAACAGAGAGUUAAAUAGUAC